GAAUAAACGCUGGUGGCGUGCUUUAUACAUGCAAGUCGAGCGGAGAUCAGCUUGAAGCAGAAGGUGAUUAAUUCACACUUUGUGUGAGUUAUGAACUUUCUGUGACGGUUGAUCUUAGCGGCGAACGGGUGAGUAACGCGUGGAUAAUCUGCCCUUGAGACCGGGAUAACAUCUCGAAAGGGGUGCUAAUACCGGAUAAAAUUACAGAAAGCAAUUUCGGUAACCAAAGUUGGAUUUUCAAAAUUCUUCGCUCAAGGAUGAGUCCGCGUCCUAUUAGCUAGUUGGUGAGGUAAAGGCUCACCAAGGCAAUGAUGGGUAGCCGGCCUGAGAGGGCGUACGGCCACACUGGGACUGAGACACGGCCCAGACUCCUACGGGAGGCAGCAGUAGGGAAUCUUCCGCAAUGGGCGAAAGCCUGACGGAGCGACGCCACGUGGAUGACGAAGGCCUUCGGGUCGUAAAAUCCUGUCAGGGGGGACGAUGGUCGAUCUUCGGAUUGACUGACGGUACCCUCAGAGGAAGCUCCGGCCAACUACGUGCCAGCAGCCGCGGUAAUACGUACGGAGCAAGCGUUGUUCGGAUUUACUGGGCGUAAAGAGUGCGUACGCGGUUAUAUAAGUCAAAGGUGAAAUCUUCACUUUCAAGGUGGAAACUGCCUCUGAUACUGUAUAACUAGAGGGCAAGAGGGGGAAAUGGAACUCUGGGAGUAGCGGUGAAAUGCGUAGAUAUCCAGAGGAACGCCGGUAGCGAAGGCGAUUUCCUAGCUUGCAUCUGACGCUGAGGCACUAAAGCUAGGGUAGCGAUCGGGAUUAGAGACCCCGGUAGUCCUAGCCCUAAACGAUGGGUACUAAGUGUGGGGGGAGCAUUACCCUCCGUGCUGAAGUUAACACGUUAAGUACCCCGCCUGGGGAGUACGGUCGCAAGACUGAAACUCAAAAGAAUUGACGGGGGGCUGAACAAGCAGUGGAGCACGUG
This 975-nucleotide ribosomal RNA is filed under the name uncultured bacterium. RNAcentral's name for it is "bacterial SSU rRNA". It matches the Rfam family "Bacterial small subunit ribosomal RNA", at positions 27 to 943 of the family's 1533-position model. The record is from RNAcentral.